AUGGGCUGCUGUGCAAAUGCAUGUGGUCAGGUCCUCAGGUGGCUGUCAGCUCAGCACGGGGACAGAUGUGUUCCAUUCCUCUGUGCUCAGGUGGGUGAGGGUGGUGGGAAAAACCCCGAGAGAGGGGUCCCUGGCUCUGAGGGCUACGGGUGGGGUGUCCAUCCUGUGGGCCCUUCUCGGGAGCUGGGAGGGAGGAGGGCUCCGCCCCUGAGGAGACUCCCUGAGGGCUGGCGAGCUGGGCCGCCCUCCCCUGCAGCCCUGCACCUAAGCUGCUGCCCACCCGGCCACUCUUCCUCGCCCCAUCUGCCUCUUCGGCCAAACCCGUUUCCUUUCCUGUCUCCGCGGAGGAGAGGGCGAUGAAAAGUGUCAGCGCCGAAGGCUGAGGACCAGCCCUGACCAACUCCCGACUCCUGGUCCCUCAGCCUGAGCCAGAGAACCGUCUCCUCCAGGGGCGGUGCCCACAUCCUGGCCCGAUGCCCAGCACCCCGCCCUUGGCCGCCUUCUCCCGCCCUGGCCGGCUCCCCGCGGUGACCGGGACCUGGAUUGUGCUCAGUGACUGCUGUCCUCAGACUUCAAACUCUUGAAGGCUGAAGCUGCGCCCUGCCUUCCACCCCUGAAUUUGGACGGCCGCCCCAGCUGGGCUGAACAGCCACCGCGGGGGAAUAUUUGGCGGAAUCUCCCAUGAAGCGCAAGGACCAGAGAGUUCGAUCCCGGUAUCAAGAGGCAAAAAAAAGGCAAAGCGAGCCACGCUGGUUAACGGUGACAAGGGGCAGGGUGGGGGAGAGGGAAGAGACCCGCCCGCCUUUCGGAGUCUUCAGGUGAGGAGAGGCCGGGUGCUCCCUGGGCAGAGGUGCAGUGCUCUGAGAGGCAGCUGCGGGCCAGGCCCUCGGCCUAUGAAGCGACCAGGAUCCCAGCCCCCGGGCCAGGGCCAGGACACGCCGGGUGGCCUUGUAGUGAGAGCGGCCCUCCGCCACCGGAGAGCUGGAGACCUCCCCUGGACUUUCGGCAUGGAAGGGGCCCCCAGCAGCAGAGAGAGUGAGACCGCGGUGAACAAGGAGGCCCUGAGCGUGGUGGGCAGAGCCGUGGGCGUCCUGGGGUGGGGGAGGGGAGGACUCACGACCACGGCAGGGUGGGAUUAGAAUCUAGGCCCUGUAAAGACACAUCGGGCAAUUCUGCUAGAUCCAGAGAGGCGACUGCUGCAAAGAGCGAAGAGAAGGAAAAAGCGGGUGGAGGGCGCAGAGGGAGGGAGGAAGGAAACAUCAUCGUGCACGCAAAUGGUUGCAAACAGAAGGUCACCUCUGGGUUAAGGGAAGGGGUGGAACACUGCAGGAGUCCUGAGGUCAGGAAAGCAUUUAACCUCUAGGGCAAGGAGGACAGAAGCAACAGGGUGAACCCCAAGACACUCAAGCCACUCCGGGUGCGAUGGGAACUCGGGUGUUUUUCAGAGUCUAAAGGUAAUGCAUGCAUUCUCCAAAGAAUUAACAGUACAACAGUACCACUGGCCACAAGCGAUGACACACGUUUUGUAAUCCCAGCACAUUGGGAGGCUGAGGC
Molecule: long non-coding RNA, 1554 nt
Organism: Fukomys damarensis (Damara mole-rat)
Lineage: Eukaryota; Metazoa; Chordata; Mammalia; Rodentia; Bathyergidae
Source: Ensembl